GCGGAAGUGGCGGAAUUGGUAGACGCACCAGAUUUAGGUUCUGGCGCCGCAAGGUGUGAGAGUUCAAGUCUAUCCUUCCGCACCA
This 85-nucleotide transfer RNA is filed under the name Vibrio parahaemolyticus. RNAcentral describes it as "tRNA-Leu". It matches the Rfam family "tRNA". From Rfam's summary of the family: Transfer RNA (tRNA) molecules are approximately 80 nucleotides in length. Their secondary structure includes four short double-helical elements and three loops (D, anti-codon, and T loops). Further hydrogen bonds mediate the characteristic L-shaped molecular structure. tRNAs have two regions of fundamental functional importance: the anti-codon, which is responsible for specific mRNA codon recognition, and the 3' end, to which the tRNAs corresponding amino acid is attached (by aminoacyl-tRNA synthetases). tRNAs cope with the degeneracy of the genetic code in two manners: having more than one tRNA (with a specific anti-codon) for a particular amino acid; and 'wobble' base-pairing, i.e. permitting non-standard base-pairing at the 3rd anti-codon position. Lineage: Bacteria; Pseudomonadati; Pseudomonadota; Gammaproteobacteria; Vibrionales; Vibrionaceae. The record is from RNAcentral.